This 64-nucleotide transfer RNA is filed under the name Nemertopsis tetraclitophila. RNAcentral's name for it is "tRNA-Phe". Lineage: Eukaryota; Metazoa; Nemertea; Enopla; Monostilifera; Emplectonematidae. The record is from RNAcentral.
AUUUUAGUAGCUUAAUAUAGAGUGUGACGUUGAAGUUGUUAAGGUAACAUUUAGUUCUAAAAUG